GUCGAAGCCGGCUUCCGCCGGCAA
RNAcentral lists this small RNA (24 nucleotides) under Paenibacillus sp. P22. Lineage: Bacteria; Bacillati; Bacillota; Bacilli; Caryophanales; Paenibacillaceae. The record is from RNAcentral.